Molecule: ribosomal RNA, 537 nt
Filed under: Hesperomyces virescens
Lineage: Eukaryota; Fungi; Ascomycota; Laboulbeniomycetes; Laboulbeniales; Laboulbeniaceae
Description: eukaryotic LSU rRNA
Rfam family: Eukaryotic large subunit ribosomal RNA
Source: RNAcentral
GCAAAAGCUUAAAUUUGAAAUCUGGCACUAGCCCGAGUUGUAAUUUGUAGAGGAUGUCUUCAGCAAAAGGCUUUGAGUCUAAGUUCCCUGGAACGGGAUAUCAUGGAGGGUGAGAAUCCCGUACAUGGUUCAUUGUCUCUUGCAUCAUGAAGCUCCUUCAACGAGUCGAGUUGUUUGGGAAUGCAGCUCAAAACAGGAGGUAAAUUCCUUCCAAAGCUAAAUAUUAGCCAGAGACCGAUAGCGAACAAGUAGAGUGAUCGAAAGAUGAAAAGCACUUUGGAAAGAGAGUUAAAAAGUAUGUGAAAUUGUUGAAAGGGAAGCGCUUGCAACCAGACUUUUCACUGUAGGUUAGAUCAUCUAGGCUCUUUGGCCUAGUGUACUCUACCUAUAUUGUGUGCCAGCAUCGGUUUGUUAGUCGAGAGAAAAGAGUAGUGCGUUGUCAAUUCCUUCGGGUAUUUGGCAUGCAUCUACAGGUACGUCUUGAACCCAGACCGAGGACAGCGCUUUUUGCACGGAUGCUGGUGUAAUGGUUGUAAG